CCAGGGGAAGGUUCGUCCGCCCUGGGUUAGUCGGGACCUAAGCUGAGGCCGAAAGGCGUAGGUGAUGGACAACAGGUUGAUAUUCCUGUACUACCGAUAACCGUUUGAGAGAAGGGAUGACACAGUAGGAUAAGCUAAGCACACUGUUGGUUAUGUGUGCCCAAGCAUUGAGGCAGUCAAAGUAGGCAAAUCCGCUUUGAUAAUGCUGGGAUGUGAUGGGGAGCGAAAUUUAGUAGCGAA
RNAcentral lists this ribosomal RNA (240 nucleotides) under Clostridioides difficile. Its description in RNAcentral is "partial 23S ribosomal RNA". It matches the Rfam family "Bacterial large subunit ribosomal RNA", at positions 1354 to 1589 of the family's 2925-position model. Lineage: Bacteria; Bacillati; Bacillota; Clostridia; Peptostreptococcales; Peptostreptococcaceae. The record is from RNAcentral.